Molecule: Y RNA, 100 nt
Filed under: Cercocebus atys (sooty mangabey)
Lineage: Eukaryota; Metazoa; Chordata; Mammalia; Primates; Cercopithecidae
Description: Y RNA (ENSCATG00000004431.1)
Rfam family: Y RNA
About the family: Y RNAs are components of the Ro ribonucleoprotein particle (Ro RNP), in association with Ro60 and La proteins.
Source: Rfam by way of RNAcentral
GGCUGGUCCAAGCACAGUGGUGUUUACAAUGAAUUGAUCACAGCCAGGUAUAAUUCUUUGUUUUUUCUCCAAUCCCACUGCUUUGCUUGACCAGCCUUAA